This 279-nucleotide ribosomal RNA is filed under the name uncultured bacterium. RNAcentral describes it as "partial 16S ribosomal RNA". It matches the Rfam family "Bacterial small subunit ribosomal RNA", at positions 506 to 784 of the family's 1533-position model. The record is from RNAcentral.
UGCCAGCCGCCGCGGUAAUACGGAGGGGGCUAGCGUUGUUCGGAAUUACUGGGCGUAAAGCGCACGUAGGCGGAUUGGUAAGUUGGGGGUGAAAGCCCGAGGCUCAACCUCGGAAUUGCCCUCAAAACUGCCAGUCUUGAGUUCGGGAGAGGUGUGUGGAAUUCCGAGUGUAGAGGUGAAAUUCGUAGAUAUUCGGAGGAACACCAGAGGCGAAGGCGACACACUGGACCGAUACUGACGCUGAGGUGCGAAAGCGUGGGGAGCAAACAGGAUUAGAUA